UAAGGCACUAGGUCAGAAUAAGUGCUUUAUACAUGACGGCUCCAGUCCUAAAGUCAGAAUGUCCAUGGCUGUCAAUUGUCCUUAGGCCAACGAGUCAGCGGCUAGGAUUUCAUUUUCCAGGCUGAAAAGUGCUGUGUGGAACUGAGGGACCCCCUUCAUGCACGCAGCUGCUGGUGGUUAAAACACUGUUUUAAUACCCGCGACUCCAGAUGAUGUCAUCGCCCUGUGCAGGCGAGGGGCCUGGCUUCAAAGAGUUCUGGAGUCUGUGCAGCCAGCUCAGGGGCAGGAUCCAGGUCCCCAGCCCCUCCUUCAGUGUGAAGUCCAGACUGAUCUCCAGCUCGUCUGCCACAAAACAGGAGGCUUUCACGGCCUUGUCGUUGCUUUGGGUCAUCGGGAGUGUCAGCUUUGUGCACAGGAAGGGAAGCUCAGAUGCGAAGCGCGUUUCCAGAUCAAAAUGGCACCAUUGUGUGGCAGGUUUUGAUGGCCGAGCCUUUCCCGUGAGCGCUGUGUGCCCCCAACAGAGCCCGAGAGCCCCCUCUCCCUGAGGAGAGCCUCAACUUCUCAGCAGAAGCCCCUCAAGCAGUGCAGAAGGAACUAUCACAGGACCUUCGUCUGGGGCCUGAGCCUGGGACUCGGCCAACGCACCCCACGUGGAAAUCGACAGAUGGGGCCAAGAGGGGAAGCCCUGCAGGGGUGGCCCCAGGCUGACCUACAGGGGUUCUGCGAGCUGAAGCCCGUGCACACGGAAUGAGCCCGCUUCCACGUUACAGGCGCAGCCCCUGGGGGGCCCAAGAGGUUUCUGUGCGGGUCCACGCGGCAUUGGUUCGAAACGAUAAAUGAUCAACAAAUAUUUGUCAAGUGAUCACCCUGCCCCAAGCUCCGGGCUAGGACCUUAGUUAGAAGGCUGGACGCUUCUUCCCAGCAAGACCAGAUGGUCUUCUGACCCCGAUGAAGCUGGAAGCCGAAGAGAAAACAGGCAGUGACCUAAUAAUUACACCAAAUAUGAAAGUCACCGGGUUCUUGGAGGUCAGAGUGGAUGGUUCAGGAUUACAGUCGCGGAGUCAGCCUGUCUCGCUCAGACCCCAGGCCCAGUUCCCAUCAGCUGUGUUGCCCAAAUGCCCCGGAUGGCAGAUGUGUUGUGUGGAGAACAGAGAAGCAAAACUGAAAAGAACCUCUGGGAGUUUAGACAACUGUUUGAGGACAUACAGCUAGAUGAUAGCAAAUUGAAGUAAACAGGAGACUGAGGAACUGAUUGUGUACCUGUGCUUUCUUGUCACCAUUAUAUCGACAUGCCUGGACCAACCUGCCCAAGGGAUGUGAAAAUGUGGAAUAGAAUUGAGUCUUCAAGCCCAAGCCACCAGUGCUCCCAGCCGACCACAAUCGCAUGAGAAAACAGAAAGAAGUAAGCCAAGACAUGUCCAAACAAUCAGAUCUGUUCCGUUGACCUGUGGGCUGGUGAAAAAUGGCAAAUGAUUAUUCCUUUAA
This is a long non-coding RNA of Panthera uncia (snow leopard), 1485 nucleotides long. RefSeq lists it as uncharacterized. NCBI's taxonomy places the organism in Eukaryota, Metazoa, Chordata, Mammalia, Carnivora, Felidae. The transcript is spliced from 3 exons. The record is from RefSeq and is a predicted model, not a curated record.